This 2200-nucleotide ribosomal RNA is filed under the name Francisella tularensis subsp. holarctica. RNAcentral describes it as "partial 23S ribosomal RNA". It matches the Rfam family "Bacterial large subunit ribosomal RNA", at positions 1 to 2233 of the family's 2925-position model. Lineage: Bacteria; Pseudomonadati; Pseudomonadota; Gammaproteobacteria; Thiotrichales; Francisellaceae. The record is from RNAcentral.
UUAAGAAAAUAAGUGCAAGCGGUGGAUGCCUUGGCAUUCAGAGGCGAUGAAGGACGUGAUAAUCUGCGAUAAGCUUCGGUUAGCUGGUAAAUGAGCUAUGACCCGGAGAUUUCCGAAUGGGGGAACCCACCUGACACAAGUUGGGUACUCACUCGAUAUAGAGUGUAGAGCGAACGAGGGGAACUGAAACAUCUAAGUACCCUUAGGAAGAGAAAUCAAUUGAGAUUCCCGUAGUAGUGGCGAGCGAAGUGGGAAGAGCCUGGUAUGAUUUAGCUGUAAUUAUAGUAGAACAAGUUGGGAAGCUUGACGAUAGAGGGUGAUAGUCCCGUAUACGAAAUAAUCACAGUGGAACUAAGCAUACGAACAAGUAGGACGGGGCACGUGGAACCUUGUCUGAAUAUGGGGGGACCAUCCUCCAAGGCUAAAUACUCCUGAAUGACCGAUAGUGAACUAGUACCGUGAGGGAAAGGUGAAAAGAACCCUUAUAAAGGGAGUGAAAUAGAAUCUGAAACCGCUUGCAUACAAGCAGUAGGAGCAUGAUUUAGUCAUGUGACUGCGUACCUUUUGUAUAAUGGGUCAGCGAGUUAUUUUUAGUGGCGAGGAUAACUGAAUAAGGGAUCCGUAGCGAAAGCGAGUUUUAAUAGGGCGACUAGUCGCUAGGAGUAGACCCGAAACCGGCGCGAUCUAUCCAUGGCCAGGUUGAAGAUUAGGUAGUACUAAUUGGAGGACCGAACCCAAUACUGUUGCAAAAGUAUGGGAUGAGCUGUGGAUCGGAGUGAAAGGCUAAUCAAGCACGGAGAUAGCUGGUUCUCCCCGAAAACUAUUUAGGUAGUGCCUCGUGUAUAACUCAUUGGGGUAAAGCACUGUUUCGACAAUGGGGGUUUUACGACCUUACUGACUCGAUGCAAACUCAGAAUACGAUGAAGUUCGAUCACGGGAGACACACUGCGGGUGCUAAGGUCCGCAGUGGAAAGGGAAACAGCCCAGACCGCCAACUAAGGUCCCAAAGUCAUAGCUAAGUGGGAAACGAAGUGGGAAGGCCCAGACAGCCAGGAGGUUGGCUUAGAAGCAGCCACCCUUUAAAGAAAGCGUAAUAGCUCACUGGUCGAGUCGGCCUGCACGUAAGAUUUAACGGGGCUAAGCUAUGCACUGAAGUUGCGGAAUAUAUUUAGUAUAUUGGUAGGGGAGCGUUCUGUAAGCCGAUGAAGGUGAAUUGAGAAGUUUGCUGGAGGUAUCAGAAGUGCGAAUGCUGACAUGAGUAACGUAAAAUAAGUGAGAUUCUUAUUGGCCGAAAACCCAAGGGUUCCUACGCAAUGUUAAUCAACGUAGGGUAAGCCGGCCCCUAAGGCGUAGCUGAAGAGUGAAGUCGAUGGGAAACAGGUUAAUAUUCCUGUGCUGCUUAUAUGAACGAAGGAGGGACGGAGAAGGUUAGGUAGGCCUGGCGAAUGGUUGUCCAGGUGAAAGUAUGUAGGUAGGAAUGCUAGGCAAAUCCGGUGUUCUGUUGAUCUGAGAUACGAGACGAAGUUAAACUUGUUUGACGAAGCUAUUGAUACCAUGCUUCCAGGAAAAGCUUCUAAGUAUAUUGUAUAAGUGACCGUACUGUAAACCGACACUGGUGGGUAGGUAGAGAAUACUAAGGCUAUGAGAUAACUCUGGUGAAGGAACUAGGCAAAAUGACACCGUAACUUUGGAAGAAGGUGUGCCCUUGAUGGUGAUGAGACUUGCUCUUUGAGCUGUUGGGGGUUGCAGAUACCAGGUGGCUGCGACUGUUUAUCAAAAACACAGCACUCUGCGAAAUCGUAAGAUGAAGUAUAGGGUGUGACGCCUGCCCGGUGCUGGAAGGUUAAUUGAAGGGGUUAGCGCAAGCGAAGCUCUGGAUCGAAGCCCCAGUAAACGGCGGCCGUAACUAUAACGGUCCUAAGGUAGCGAAAUUCCUUGUCGGGUAAGUUCCGACCUGCACGAAUGGCGUAACGAUGGCCACACUGUCUCCACCAGAGACUCAGUGAAAUUGAAAUCGCUGUGAAGAUGCAGUGUACCCGCGGUUAGACGGAAAGACCCCGUGAACCUUUACUAUAGCUUUGCACUGGACUUUGAAUAUUUAUGUGUAGGAUAGGUGGGAGACCAUGAAGCAGCUACGCCAGUAGUUGUGGAGUCGUCCUUGAAAUACCACCCUUGAAUAUUUGAAGUUCUAACUCAGGAG